CACUCCUACGGGAGGCAGCAGUGGGGAAUUUUGGACAAUGGGCGAAAGCCUGAUCCAGCAAUGCCGCGUGAGUGAAGAAGGCCUUCGGGUUGUAAAGCUCUUUUGUCAGGGAAGAAACGGUGAGAGCUAAUAUCUCUUGCUAAUGACGGUACCUGAAGAAUAAGCACCGGCUACCUACGUGCAAGCAGCCGCGGUAAUACGUAGGGUGCAAGCGUUAAUCGGAAUUACUGGGCGUAAAGCGUGCGCAGGCGGUUUUGUAAGUCUGAUGUGAAAUCCCCGGGCUCAACCUGGGAAUUGCAUUGGAGACUGCAAGGCUAGAAUCUGGCAGAGGGGGGUAGAAUUCCACGUGUAGCAGUGAAAUGCGUAGAUAUGUGGAGGAACACCGAUGGCGAAGGCAGCCCCCUGGGUCAAGAUUGACGCUCAUGCACGAAAGCGUGGGGAGCAAACAGGAUUAGAUACCCCAGUAGUCCCA
This 472-nucleotide ribosomal RNA is filed under the name uncultured organism. RNAcentral's name for it is "partial 16S ribosomal RNA". It matches the Rfam family "Bacterial small subunit ribosomal RNA", at positions 334 to 797 of the family's 1533-position model. The record is from RNAcentral.